UACACGACAAUAUUCUUCUCGAUCUUCUCUCCACAUCUUGCACGCAUCGAUGUUAGCACCACUUUCAUCGUUUGGUUCCGCCAACAUCGACAUUACCGAUAACAGUAUUUUUUCAACAGAUUGAACAGGAGACCAACGUUCUGAAGACGACUCAUACAUAUUUGGAUCGUCACCAGGUGCAUGUAGGAUGGAAAUGCAAACCGUCCCAUCUUUGUAAACUGAAAUGAAGGUUAGUCUCGAAAUUUGGAUUAAUAGUAUCUGGCAUACCAUUUGGAUGGAAAAAUUCACACUCAAACUUUAAAGUAGGGGGGCCAAGAGGAUAAUCCUACAUAAAAAAGUUAGAAUCCAAUAAAAAUAAAACUAAGCACGUAUCAACGUGCGCUUGAACACCCCGGAUGUACUGCCAUGCGAUUCAAAGAAAGAAACCAAACCCCCAAA
Non-coding RNA from Schizosaccharomyces pombe (fission yeast), 438 nucleotides. Lineage: Eukaryota; Fungi; Ascomycota; Schizosaccharomycetes; Schizosaccharomycetales; Schizosaccharomycetaceae. The record is from the annotation of a GenBank genome assembly.